Molecule: ribosomal RNA, 85 nt
Filed under: Pseudomonadota bacterium
Lineage: Bacteria; Pseudomonadati; Pseudomonadota
Description: Proteobacteria bacterium (groundwater metagenome) partial 16S ribosomal RNA
Rfam family: Bacterial small subunit ribosomal RNA
Source: RNAcentral
AAACUGGAGAGUUUGAUCCUGGCUCAGAACGAACGCUGGCGGCGUGCUUAACACAUGCAAGUCGAACGCGAAAGGGACUUCGGUC